Molecule: signal recognition particle RNA, 268 nt
Filed under: Microcebus murinus (gray mouse lemur)
Lineage: Eukaryota; Metazoa; Chordata; Mammalia; Primates; Cheirogaleidae
Description: Metazoan signal recognition particle RNA (ENSMICG00000036915.2)
Rfam family: Metazoan signal recognition particle RNA
About the family: The signal recognition particle (SRP) is a universally conserved ribonucleoprotein. It is involved in the co-translational targeting of proteins to membranes. The eukaryotic SRP consists of a 300-nucleotide 7S RNA and six proteins: SRPs 72, 68, 54, 19, 14, and 9.
Source: RNAcentral
GCCAAGUAAAGUUCCAGAUACUCAGCAGGCGGUAGCUGGGGCAUCAUUUGAGUUCUGGGCUGUAGUGUGCUGUGCCAAUCAGGUGUCCGCACUAAGUUUGGCAUUAUAUGGUGACCUUCCAGGAGCAGAGGACCAGCACGUUGCCUAAGGAGGGGUGAACUGGCUCAGGUUGGAAACAGAGCAGGUGAAAACUCCCGCACUGAUCAAGAGUGGGAUCAUGCCUGUGAAUAGUGCUCCAGUCUGGGCAACUUAGUGAGACCCCAUCUCU